UACGUAGGGUGCGAGCGUUGUCCGGAAUUAUUGGGCGUAAAGAGCUUGUAGGCGGUUUGUCGCGUCUGCUGUGAAAAUCCGGGGCUCAACCCCGGACUUGCAGUGGGUACGGGCAGACUAGAGUGUGGUAGGGGAGACUGGAAUUCCUGGUGUAGCGGUGGAAUGCGCAGAUAUCAGGAAGAACACCCGUGGCGAAGGCGGUUCUCUGGGACGGUACUGACGCUGAGACGCGAAAGCGUGGGGAGCGAACAGG
Molecule: ribosomal RNA, 253 nt
Filed under: uncultured bacterium
Lineage: Bacteria
Description: partial 16S ribosomal RNA
Rfam family: Bacterial small subunit ribosomal RNA
Source: RNAcentral